AUCCCCCUACCUGAUUUGCGAAUAUGCGAAAAUAACCCUACAACUUUUUAAAAGGGAGCACGGACUCCAUAUGCGGUGUUGAAGACCUUAUGAUUCAUCAGGGAUCCUAAAGCUGUUGGGAGUGCACCCACCUGUCAUUUUGUAGGCAGGUUAUAUUUAAGCAUUUACGGUCAGGUGGGGUUUUU
This is a non-coding RNA of Eubacterium sp. CAG:581, 185 nucleotides long. Lineage: Bacteria; Bacillati; Bacillota; Clostridia; Eubacteriales; Eubacteriaceae. The record is from Rfam.